RNAcentral lists this transfer RNA (96 nucleotides) under [Torrubiella] hemipterigena. RNAcentral describes it as "Torrubiella hemipterigena tRNA". It matches the Rfam family "tRNA". Rfam says of the family: Transfer RNA (tRNA) molecules are approximately 80 nucleotides in length. Their secondary structure includes four short double-helical elements and three loops (D, anti-codon, and T loops). Lineage: Eukaryota; Fungi; Ascomycota; Sordariomycetes; Hypocreales; Clavicipitaceae. The record is from Rfam by way of RNAcentral.
GACCGUGUGGCCUAGUGGUUAUGGCGUGUGUCUUACAGGUGCUUUACAGCAUACACCAAUCACACAAGAUCGCAGGUUCGAACCCUGCUACGGUCA